Molecule: ribosomal RNA, 464 nt
Filed under: Vreelandella stevensii
Lineage: Bacteria; Pseudomonadati; Pseudomonadota; Gammaproteobacteria; Oceanospirillales; Halomonadaceae
Description: partial 16S ribosomal RNA
Rfam family: Bacterial small subunit ribosomal RNA
Source: RNAcentral
CCUACGGGUGGCAGCAGUGGGGAAUAUUGGACAAUGGGCGAAAGCCUGAUCCAGCCAUGCCGCGUGUGUGAAGAAGGCCUUCGGGUUGUAAAGCACUUUCAGUGGGGAAGAAAGCCUUGGGGCUAAUACCCUCGAGGAAGGACAUCACCCACAGAAGAAGCACCGGCUAACUCCGUGCCAGCAGCCGCGGUAAUAUGGAGGGUGCGAGCGUUAAUCGGAAUUACUGGGCGUAAAGCGCGCGUAGGCGGUCUGAUAAGCCGGUUGUGAAAGCCCCGGGCUCAACCUGGGAACGGCAUCCGGAACUGUCAGGCUAGAGUGCAGGAGAGGAAGGUAGAAUUCCCGGUGUAGCGGUGAAAUGCGUAGAGAUCGGGAGGAAUACCAGUGGCGAAGGCGGCCUUCUGGACUGACACUGACGCUGAGGUGCGAAAGCGUGGGUAGCAAACAGGAUUAGAUACCCGGGUAGU